Molecule: ribosomal RNA, 415 nt
Filed under: uncultured prokaryote
Description: bacterial SSU rRNA
Rfam family: Bacterial small subunit ribosomal RNA
Source: RNAcentral
GUGCCAGCAGCCGCGGUAAGACGAACCGUCCAAACGUUAUUCGGAAUCACUGGGCUUAAAGGGUGCGUAGGCGGCACGGCAAGUUGGGUGUGAAAUCCCUCGGCUCAACCGAGGAAUUGCGCCCAAAACUGCCGCGCUCGAGGGAGACAGAGGUGAGCGGAACUUAGGGUGGCGCGGUGAAAUGCGUUGAUAUCCUAAGGAACACCGGUGGCGAAAGCGGCUCACUGGGUCUCUUCUGACGCUGAGGCACGAAAGCUAGUGGAGCGAACGGGAUUAGAUACCCCGGUAGUCCUAGCUGUAAACGAUGAGAACUGGGUCGGAGAGUCUUCCAUAACUUUCCGGCCGAAGCGAAAGUGUUAAGUGCUCCGCCUGGGGAGUAUGGUCGCAAGGCUGAAACUUAAAUGAAUUGGCGGGG